Molecule: long non-coding RNA, 224 nt
Filed under: Hordeum vulgare
Lineage: Eukaryota; Viridiplantae; Streptophyta; Magnoliopsida; Poales; Poaceae
Description: long non-coding RNA (HVUL_LNC020729)
Source: RNAcentral
ACGGCAACAACCUCGACUGCUACAGCCAGAGACCCUUCGCUUAAUUAAUUAGUUAUGUAUUAAUCUUGGCCCUCCAUAAAAUACAAUAAGAGCAUCAUCUCCUAUCUACAUGCUGUAAGAUGUAACUUUCGUUACCUUUUAUGGGGAACAUAACUAAGGCAUCUCGUAUAGAUGCUUAAUUUGCUACUGAAUCUUACCAACAAUAUUGGCUCUUUGUUUCAUAU